CACACUAUCAAAGAGCUAGUGAUGCUGGUUGUAAAGGAAUCAAACUGCAGUGCAGUAUUCUUCCCCUCUCCUUACCUUUCAGGCAGUACCUUAAUGAAAUGAAGAAAACUGACAGAGACAGAUGAGAACUCAGUGUGACAACUGUUUUUAGAGGAAUGCUGAGCCGAAACAAUUUGAUGCAAGCAAUAUUAUGAUCAAUAACACCUCCUAGGCUUGCUCAUUCCAUUAUCUACAGGAAAAACAAAAUUAUCCUUUUUUUAUGGUGUAGUCUAAAUCCAUUUCUCAGACCAUUUCCAAUAUUUCUUGAAAAACUGCUGGGAAGGCUUCAGGAAAGACAGGAAGAGAUGUGUGAAGAAAAAAGCACCGGAGGUACAACUAGAAAUGAGACAAGUUU
Molecule: long non-coding RNA, 394 nt
Organism: Neopelma chrysocephalum (saffron-crested tyrant-manakin)
Lineage: Eukaryota; Metazoa; Chordata; Aves; Passeriformes; Pipridae
Exons: 3
Source: RefSeq, a predicted model, not a curated record